Molecule: long non-coding RNA, 931 nt
Organism: Cyprinus carpio (common carp)
Lineage: Eukaryota; Metazoa; Chordata; Actinopteri; Cypriniformes; Cyprinidae
Exons: 3
Source: RefSeq, a predicted model, not a curated record
GAAGGAGUGAAUCACUUAUGUGAAUUACAGAAGGGAUUCACACACUGCAAGCUGGAGAAACUGAGUCUGAAGUACUGUAGAAUUGCAGAUGUUUCUUCUUUAACUCAGUCUUUGACAAACACAAAAACACUGCAGUUUUUGAAAAAGCUUGAUCUGAGAUACAAUAUGAUUGGAGACUCAAAGAAGCAGCUCGUUGAUGUGCUAAGAGACUCAAACUGUGAACUGCGCCUGGAUAAGGACUGGUUCAGAUGGGGAGUGGACCUCAUUGGUGGAUGGUUUACACCCAGGUCAAAAGCUCAGGAACUUAUGAAAUCAACAGAAAAGGAAAAGUCACCAUCAGAUGAGGAAUCCUUAGACAAGCCUCACUAGUACUGUAAUAAAUUAAUAUGUUUGAUGUUUUGAUGUCUAUAAUCAAAAUGUAUAAUGUUCAUCAUAUAUUCAAAUAUGAACUGAGAGUAUUAUCAUAAAAUAACAAAAUCCUACUCCUAACCUGAAGGAAUAUUUUUGGUGAGAAGCAAGCACUUCAAAACCUACAGCUAAUAUGAAUUCAGUGUGUUUAUAAACAGACAUAUUUAUUUGAUAACCGAUUUAAACAGCUUCAAACAGCCCAACUAAAGGUUAUUACACUGACUCUUACUGUAUGUGUUGCUUUUCAAUAAUGAUAACUAAAGCAUACAGCUGGGAGGCUCAGACUUUCAAAUUUAAUAAUGCAGCAUUAAUAUAAACACGUUCAUGAGUAAUGUUGAAUGUUUAUUGUUGGUUUUGUAUUUUCAAAUAAUAUUUUGUGGUUUUAUUUACAAAUUGAUGAACACUCAAAUGAGGUUGAUUAGCAGGAAGACAUGACUCUUUGUUAUAAGCACUACAAUCAGAUAAUGAUGUUGUGAUUACUCAACUCAAUUUUGAAGAAAUUUAAAAAUUGCUGUACAAUUUU